UGCCAGCCGCCGCGGUAAUACGGAGGAUGCAAGCGUUAUCCGGAUUCAUUGGGUUUAAAGGGUGCGCAGGCGGGUUUGUAAGUCAGUGGUGAAAUCCCGCCGCUUAACGGUAGAAUUGCCAUUGAUACUGCGAAUCUUGAGUAUGGUUGAGGUAGGCGGAAUGUGUAGUGUAGCGGUGAAAUGCAUAGAUAUUACACAGAACACCAAUUGCGAAGGCAGCUUACCAAACUAUUACUGACGCUCAGGGACGAAAGCGUGGGGAGCGAACAGGAUUAGAUA
RNAcentral lists this ribosomal RNA (279 nucleotides) under uncultured bacterium. Its description in RNAcentral is "partial 16S ribosomal RNA". It matches the Rfam family "Bacterial small subunit ribosomal RNA", at positions 506 to 784 of the family's 1533-position model. The record is from RNAcentral.